RNAcentral lists this transfer RNA (71 nucleotides) under Rasamsonia emersonii. RNAcentral describes it as "tRNA-His". It matches the Rfam family "tRNA". Rfam says of the family: Transfer RNA (tRNA) molecules are approximately 80 nucleotides in length. Their secondary structure includes four short double-helical elements and three loops (D, anti-codon, and T loops). The record is from RNAcentral. Lineage: Eukaryota; Fungi; Ascomycota; Eurotiomycetes; Eurotiales; Trichocomaceae. RNAcentral also lists the same sequence under 1 other name.
GGUGCUGUGGUCUAGUGGUAGGACACCACGUUGUGGCCGUGUUAGCCCCGGUUCGAUUCCGGGCAGCACCA